GAUGAAGAACGUAGCGAAAUGCGAUAACUAAUGUGAAUUGCAGAAUUCAGUGAAUCAUCGAGUCUUUGAACGCACAUUGCGCCCCCUGGUAUUCCGGGGGGCAUGCCUGUCCGAGCGUCAUUGCUGCCCUCAAGCACGGCUUGUGUGUUGGGCUCCGUCCCCCCGGGGGACGGGCCCGAAAGGCAGCGGCGGCACCGCGUCCGGUCCUCGAGCGUAUGGGGCUUUGUCACCCGCUCUGUAGGCCCGGCCGGCGCUUGCCGAUCAACCCAAAUUUUUUAUCCAGGUUGACCUCGGAUCAGGUAGGGAUACCCGCUGAACUUAAGCAUAUCAAUAAGCGGAGGA
This 342-nucleotide unclassified non-coding RNA is filed under the name soil metagenome. Its description in RNAcentral is "partial contains 5.8S ribosomal RNA, internal transcribed spacer 2, and large subunit ribosomal RNA". The stretch from base 1 to 120 matches the Rfam family "5.8S ribosomal RNA", at positions 35 to 154 of the family's 154-position model. The record is from RNAcentral.